CAAGAUUAAGCCAUGCAUGUCUAAGUAUAAGCAAUUAUACCGUGAAACUGCGAAUGGCUCAUUAAAUCAGUUAUCGUUUAUUUGAUAGUACCUUACUACAUGGAUAACCGUGGUAAUUCUAGAGCUAAUACAUGCUAAAAACCCCAACUUCGGGAGGGGUGUAUUUAUUAGAUAAAAAACCAAUGCCCUUCGGGGCUCUUUGGUGAUUCAUAGUAACUUAACGGAUCGCAUGGCCUUGCGCCGGCGACGGUUCAUUCAAAUUUCUGCCCUAUCAACUUUCGAUGGUAAGGUAUUGGCUUACCAUGGUUUCAACGGGUAACGGGGAAUUAGGGUUCGAUUCCGGAGAGGGAGCCUGAGAAACGGCUACCACAUCCAAGGAAGGCAGCAGGCGCGCAAAUUACCCAAUCCCGACACGGGGAGGUAGUGACAAUAAAUACUGAUACAGGGCUCUUUUGGGUCUUGUAAUCGGAAUGAGUACAAUUUAAACCCCUUAACGAGGAACAAUUGGAGGGCAAGUCUGGUGCCAGCAGCCGCGGUAAUUCCAGCUCCAAUAGCGUAUAUUAAAGUUGUUGCAGUUAAAAAGCUCGUAGUUGAACCUUGGGCCUGGCUGGCCGGUCCGCCUCACCGCGUGUACUGGUCCGGCCGGGCCUUUCCUUCUGGAGAACCCCAUGCCCUUCACUGGGUGUGCGGGGGAACCAGGACUUUUACUGUGAAAAAAUUAGAGUGUUCAAAGCAGGCCUUUGCUCGAAUACGUUAGCAUGGAAUAAUAGAAUAGGACGUGCGGUUCUAUUUUGUUGGUUUCUAGGACCGCCGUAAUGAUUAAUAGGGAUAGUCGGGGGCAUCAGUAUUCAAUUGUCAGAGGUGAAAUUCUUGGAUUUAUUGAAGACUAACUACUGCGAAAGCAUUUGCCAAGGAUGUUUUCAUUAAUCAGUGAACGAAAGUUAGGGGAUCGAAGACGAUCAGAUACCGUCGUAGUCUUAACCGUAAACUAUGCCGACUAGGGAUCGGGCGAUGUUUCUAUCUUGACUCGCUCGGCACCUUACGAGAAAUCAAAGUUUUUGGGUUCUGGGGGGAGUAUGGUCGCAAGGCUGAAACUUAAGAA
This 1102-nucleotide ribosomal RNA is filed under the name Murispora kazachstanica. RNAcentral describes it as "SSU rRNA". It matches the Rfam family "Eukaryotic small subunit ribosomal RNA", at positions 39 to 1152 of the family's 1831-position model. The record is from RNAcentral. Lineage: Eukaryota; Fungi; Ascomycota; Dothideomycetes; Pleosporales; Amniculicolaceae.